RNAcentral lists this long non-coding RNA (4466 nucleotides) under Rhipicephalus microplus (southern cattle tick). RNAcentral describes it as "uncharacterized LOC119178151, transcript variant X2". The record is from RNAcentral. Lineage: Eukaryota; Metazoa; Arthropoda; Arachnida; Ixodida; Ixodidae.
UUCUCGCAUGAGUUACUUCAGCGAUCGAUCGGAUGCGUUGUGAUUACGGCAGCUCUUUCGGUGCGUGUUAGCAGUGGGGAAAGCUGCGACAGUGCAAUGGUGUACGGUGAAGCGCAGCGAAGCCUGUGCGACAGUGUGGUUAUCAAGCGGGGAUCGGCGCCGGUGUAUCGACGGCAACUUGCACUCGACGGCAACUUGCUCUCGACAAGCCUGCAAUGUGUGUUUGUGUGCCGGUAACAGUUCGUUCGCUUGACUUUCCAGUCUCUUUGUUGGGAGCUGUGCGACAUUUCGGAUUGACAGUGUUUUGGCACGUUACUUCAGUGACCCCAAGUACGUACGGAAACGUAUGAACUGCUCGCUGAGUCCGAUUCUUGCUUCGCCAUUGGUUAGCCCAUACGCUUCUAUUUUCUUGUGAGCAAUCUAGUGUUCGAGAGUGAAAUGAUGUUCGUUGUGAACAGUGGUGCUGUGUUGACAUUCCAAGACUUGUGAAGAAGCUGUGCUCGUGUGACCGAAAAUUGAAAGACAGCGUUGAUAACUGUUUUGCACUGCUAAGUUGCGGUGGUGGAGCUUGGCGCUUUUGCUUGUUAACUCGUCACUUCUCCUUUUUGUGAUAACCAUAGUCAUAGCGCUGUGAUGUGAUCAACCAAAGCUGCGAGAUGCUACAUUCUGUUGUGGAUUGUGUUACUUUGGCAGCGCGCCUAGACUGUUCUUCGGUAAAAACUUGAGAGUUCUAUGUGGCAGCGAGAGCCCGUGAACGUCAAGCUUCCCUCCGGCCCCCAGAAAGAGCAAAUAUUUCUCCGGUGCCCAGCUUUAGACGAAGUCGUAGGCCAAUACCGCCUAACUACAGUUUUCCGAGUUCAUCUGGCCAACAUUUUGCACGGCACUAGAGCCUUGACAACUGCUGGUCAUGGCCAGUUCUUACAGGUACACGCCAGGCCAGCCCUUCAUUGCUAUCAUCGGCAGCUUCCAGUCUGCAGAUGCUCUUUGCCUGUUGGCCGUAGAGCACACUUGAUUCCUCAUGACACAGAAGGCUACUAAAUGCUGCCAUCGACACUGGCACAUCAAUCCUCAUCAUGACUUGGAGCACCUAAACAAAAAUAGAAAGGGCACGUGCUCCCUAACUGUGCAAGUCUAUGUCACUGCUGGGACUGUUAUCAUUCAGCAUAUGUGGCCUGGAACCAUGCAUGGCAGUUUCAUCUGGAAGGACUGCGAUCUGCUUGGGAGCUUCGAGGGCAUAAAACUGCCUAAGAGCUGGCUGCAAAGUGACGUUCAGUGUGUUUCAAAGCCUUGGUCCUCAUGUCUCCGUCUAUGGCUAGCCUACUUCAGCAGCAGUGCGAUGCAGCCAGCACACAUGCAAGCCAAGUCAUGGAGCGCUCCUUUGGUGUUCUGUGCAGAACGCAGCAUAUCCAUCUGGCAAUGCACUGGUAUCAACAAUAAUGGCGAGUGUUAGUGGCACCUGUAGGAGCCCGUUGUGUUUGUUGCGUAUGAUUAUUUCCCCUGAUGAAGUGCAUUUUUGAAAGGAUUUCUUCGUUUGGAAUAAUAGAUGUCAGUAAGAAGCACACUCAUAACCAUCAAGUGUUUGUCUCCUAGACUGCCCUAUUGUUCCUAUACGUGGUACGGUGAGCUGACUAUGUUAUACAGCCUUAAAGUUAUGAACAUUGGCUGUUGUGUUGUAAUGCAGUCUAACUUGUGUUUCUUAGUGAACUUAUUUGCGGUCUGCUUCUUGCACCUAGUGUAAAGUCAAAAUAGAAGAAACUUUAUUGGCUUUAUAUACCUUGCAGAAGUUUCAUGCCUUCAUCUAUAACAUUGUAGUUUUGCUCUUGUAUCAUAAUAAAAUAUAUUUUUGGUCUUCACUGUUUGUGUGUGUGUUGAGGCCUGUCAUUGACUUCUGAAAAUACGACAUCUGUAAAUAUGAGCACAUAUUAAACAACUUUCCACUCUUGCAUGUAGCAUGGUUGUAACAAUGACCUGUAUUUUUCUAAGUUCUAGCACUAACAAGGGAUGUACAGUGUAUGACAGUCAUGUACAGUGUAUCAAAAACAGAGCACGGAAGACCAACAAGUACAAUGGGACUGCCAGUGACUGUUCUCCUGCUCAAAAUUUACGGCAGCAGAAAGAGCACAUUGGAUGUCAGGAGCAGUUUGAAUUGUAUACGUAGUAACAUUCUGUGCAGCUGCAGCUUAACUUCUUAGCAGUGCAUUAUUCAGCAUUCAGUUCCUUUGCUUGCAUUCCAAAUUAUUUAAAUUUUGCAUGGAAAAUACCAAACUAUGACAGUAAAUUAAAGGCUGCUGUAGUGUUGGUGGGCAAAUAUUUUUGAGCUGAAGUUUUUAACAUGCGUGUUAAGUCCCUGCAUAUCUUUGCAUUUACCUGUCAUAAAUCACAGCAUCUAUGGUCGGCAAUGGUAACUGUGUUUGCAUUCUUUGUAGUACAAGAAGUAAAGCCAUGGAUGCGGUAAUCAUGUACUCAGCCGAUGUAAUCCUUCAGUGUACACUCAUUUGUACAGCACCAAUGAUGCCAUGAGUGUGUAAGCUCUGGGAAGUGAAUCUAUGUGAAUUGUUUUAUUUGGAAGGACGAGGAUCAUCAUUACUCUUGUAUAUCUUAACAGUAGAUUUUAGUGCUUGUUUAUUGUUAUCUCACUGCCUGUCCAUCUUUCAACAGUCUACUUCUCUGUUUCUAGUGUGUAAGUUAAACUUUUUUAAUGUAUACUUUGCUCAGAUAGGUUUGUUCAUGUUAUAAUUGUGUACUAUGCAAGUGACUUAUCAUCCAUCCAGCUUCAUUUAGACUAGAAAUAACAGUAUUUAAUUAAUUUAUAUAUAGCUAUAGUAUGCAUUUACUUAUCUUUUUCUAGGUGUCUGUACAAUUGUUUAGCCCUACAAAGGUACAGGUAUACUCUAAUAUUGAAGCUGGCAUCUUAAAAUACUUUGUUAGAGAAGCAAUAAUGUGUUUAUAACCAUCAAUACUAUGCUCAGAUGAGCUGUGAAAACCCUAUGGAAAUGUAUUUACAUUUUUCUAACUCUGUGAAGGUAAUUGUUCUUAUGUUCUUUCAUUGUUGUCUCUGUUUCAUGCAAAUGACACAUAAUUACUUCACAGUGGCAUAGUAUUACUUGUUAUUUUACACAUAUGUGCUGAACAAGAUCGCAGUUGAGGCCAGCAGCAUGACCUACAUGCAGUGCACUAGAGCAUCGCCUCACAUAAUUAGUGUACAGUCUUUGCCCACCAGUGAACUGAAUAUUUUUCAAGCAGACUAAAAGACAGCUGUAUGGAAACUGUGUUGAUGUGCAAACUUUGAAGUCUUCUUGAGCAGUGUUUUUCAUCAUUUUUGUCCAAGUGAACUAGCUGCCCAAAGCCACAACUGGUGGGAAUGUGGUGGUUUCCUCUCUCCAAAACCACUCCUACCAGCUGCCUCAAUGUUAGCGUUGGGUGAUUCUCGAACUGGAAAAAUAAUUGGUCUUUGUUUUCUUGGCCGAAAGGGUCACUUCCCUCGUUGAACCACCGCUACGCACCAGGCAAGAAACUUUUAGCUAAAUAAAGUUGAUUCUACUUUUGAGAAGUGUUUUCGGGAAACAAAAUGGCGCCUAUAGCUGUCAAUAUAAACACUGUUCGCACCAAGGAGCUUAGUAGCCUAUAUUUGUAUUAUUCAUGUGUUGUCAGAAUUUCUUUGCACUGUGCCAAAUUUCAGCCCAAGUGUCCUUACAUGCUUUGUUAGUGUGUUGUGAAUGAGCCAUGCUAUUUAAAUAAACAGAGUGAUAUGGCAGACAUUUACAAAUUAUUGAUGCACAGUCCUUUUCUUUAGCAUGACAUUUUCAUGGGCUUUAUUCUUGUGUUUCUUAUAAAAACUGCUUGUCACUGAACAGCAGAAACUAUGCAUCAAGCUUUUGAGAGAUAAUUCGAGAAACACCGUGUUCAUAUAUAACACUGCUGGUGGAUUCCUCUGGUAAGUUACAUUCUGUAUGUUCAAGAUGAGUGUAUUAGAAUUGUUGUUUUAUAGCCAUUCAUUUUAAUAUUUACACUUGAGUGCAGGUAUGUAUUCCAGAAGGACUUGUUUUUGGGCUAGUUGGUGCAUACUUGGUGCAGAAGACUGAGGCGCAAAAAACAUGACGUGAAGCAGGAAGAGCAGGAGAAAAGACAGAACAGCGCCAACUACCAACUGUUUAAUGACCGUCUAGAAAACGCACUGGAAGGAACACAAAACCGCGCAUGCGUUCACAGCCAACAAACAUCGCACAGCGUCAUGAACAAGGCACUAAGUUAUCCAAAAAAUGCAUUUCUGUUGGGUACAACACAAUAGAUGUAUCACUGAUACAGUCGGGCCCCUUUUUUUUGAUAAAGUAGGCUUCCAAGAGCUGUUUAUUUUUUGCUCCUACCAAGAAUCACCGUUUUUUCAAACAAUGGCACACAUCCACAGGCUUUACAAUGCACUGGAAGAUGCGCAUGCUCGCUUUUGCCUAAACUAUUGGCAUGCUCCC